CAACCCUCAAGCCUGGCUUGGUAUUGGGCGCCCGUCCCCCGGGACGCGCCUGGAAAGCAGCGGCGGUGCGGCCGGUGAUCGAGCGUAGUAACGACUCCCGCUUCGAGCCACCCGGGCGUUCCGGCCGGACAACAUCUAUUUUUCAAU
RNAcentral lists this unclassified non-coding RNA (147 nucleotides) under uncultured Acarosporales. RNAcentral describes it as "sequence contains ITS2". Lineage: Eukaryota; Fungi; Ascomycota; Lecanoromycetes; Acarosporales. The record is from RNAcentral.